GUGGGGAAUCUUGCACAAUGGACGAAAGUCUGAUGCAGCGACUCUGCGUGAAGGAUGAAGCCUUACGGGGUGUAAACUUCUUUUCUGGUGGAAGACGAAUGACGGUACACCAGGAAUAAGGGACGGCUAACUACGUGCCAGCAGCCGCGGUAAUACGUAGGUCCCGAGCGUUAUCCGGAGUUACUGGGCGUAAAGUGUCCGUAGCCUGAUAUAUAAGUCCGUUUUCAAAUAUCUCGGCUCAACCGAGAAAAGGGAAUGGAUACUGUAUAUCUGGAGGUCUUUGGGGGUUAGUGGAAUUUCCAGUGGAGCGGUGAAAUGCGUUGAUAUUGGAAGGAAUGCCAAAAGCGAAAGCAGCUAACUACAAAGAACCUGACGGUGAGGGACGAAAGCUUGGGGAGCAAACGGGAUUAGAUACCCCUGUAGUCC
RNAcentral lists this ribosomal RNA (426 nucleotides) under uncultured bacterium. RNAcentral's name for it is "bacterial SSU rRNA". It matches the Rfam family "Bacterial small subunit ribosomal RNA", at positions 354 to 796 of the family's 1533-position model. The record is from RNAcentral.